UACGGGGGGGGCUAGCGUUGUUCGGAAUUACUGGGCGUAAAGGGCGCGUAGGCGGUUCAUUAAGUUGGAUGUGAAAACUCUGGGCUUAACCCAGAGCCUGCAUUCAAAACUGAUGGGCUGGAGUUCUGGAGGGGAUAGCGGAAUUCCUGGUGUAGCGGUGAAAUGCGUAGAUAUUCGGAAGAACACCAGUGGCGAAGGCGGCUCACUGGUCCGGUACUGACGCUGAGGUGCGAAAGCGUGGGGAGCAAACAGG
This 253-nucleotide ribosomal RNA is filed under the name uncultured bacterium. RNAcentral's name for it is "partial 16S ribosomal RNA". It matches the Rfam family "Bacterial small subunit ribosomal RNA", at positions 524 to 776 of the family's 1533-position model. The record is from RNAcentral.